UACGUAGGGGGCAAGCGUUGUCCGGAUUUAUUGGGCGUAAAGAGCGUGUAGGCGGCCAUACAGGUCAGCUGUGAAAACUCGAGGCUCAACCUCGAGACGUCGGUUGAAACCGUAUGGCUAGAGUCCGGAAGAGGAGAGUGGAAUUCCUGGUGUAGCGGUGAAAUGCGCAGAUAUCAGGAAGAACACCCGUGGCGAAGGCGGCUCUCUGGGACGGUACUGACGCUGAGACGCGAAAGCGUGGGGAGCGAACAGG
RNAcentral lists this ribosomal RNA (253 nucleotides) under uncultured bacterium. RNAcentral describes it as "partial 16S ribosomal RNA". It matches the Rfam family "Bacterial small subunit ribosomal RNA", at positions 524 to 776 of the family's 1533-position model. The record is from RNAcentral.